This 23-nucleotide small nucleolar RNA is filed under the name Blastobotrys adeninivorans. RNAcentral describes it as "snR79". Lineage: Eukaryota; Fungi; Ascomycota; Dipodascomycetes; Dipodascales; Trichomonascaceae. The record is from RNAcentral.
AUAGACUACAACGGUAUCUGAGC